Molecule: non-coding RNA, 72 nt
Filed under: unclassified sequences
Source: RNAcentral
CCUAAUGAAUGUAGGCCACCUCUUCGCGGUGCUGAAAACCAGUACUCCUUUACAGAGGAAGCUAAGCGCCGA